Molecule: ribosomal RNA, 253 nt
Filed under: uncultured bacterium
Lineage: Bacteria
Description: partial 16S ribosomal RNA
Rfam family: Bacterial small subunit ribosomal RNA
Source: RNAcentral
UACGGAGGGGGCUAGCGUUGUUCGGAAUUACUGGGCGUAAAGCGCACGUAGGCGGCUUUGUAAGUUAGGGGUGAAAGCCCGGGGCUCAACUCCGGAAUUGCCUUUAAGACUGCAUCGCUUGAAUCCGGGAGAGGUGAGUGGAAUUCCGAGUGUAGAGGUGAAAUUCGUAGAUAUUCGGAAGAACACCAGUGGCGAAGGCGGCUCACUGGACCGGUAUUGACGCUGAGGUGCGAAAGCGUGGGGAGCAAACAGG